ACUGCUCAGUAACACGUGGUUAACUGCCCUAAGGACUGAGAUAAUCCCGCGAAAGUGGGCGUAAUAUCAGAUAGGCGAUAAUUGCUGGAAGGCAUCUUCGCUUAAAGCAGCAAUGUGCUUUAGGAUGGGACUGCGUCGGAUUAGCUUGUUGUUGAGGUAAUUGCUCAACAAGGCUGUAAUCCGUACGGGUCGUGAGAGCGAUUGCCCGGAGAUGGCUUCUGAGACAUGAAGCCAGGCCCUACGGGGCGCAGCAGGCGCGAAAACUUCGCAAUGCACGGAAGUGUGACGAGGGGAUCCUGAGUGAUGCCGCAAUGCGGUAUCUUUUGUUUACUGUAAAAAGGUAAGCGAAUAAGAGGUGGGUAAGACGGUUGCCAGCCGCCGCGGUAAUUCGAAGAAUCGAAACAUAUACGAUUCAUUCUGGCAGAGCUAUCUUCUAAAUUAGAUAGACUAUUGAAGCGCGAAACGGUUCUUCGAACCGUAAAUAACCGCGCCUCGAGUGGUAGUCACGUUUAUUGGGCCUAAAGCGUCCGUAGCCGGUUUGUUAAGUCUUUGGUGAAACCCGUCAGUAAACUGACGGAAGUGCUGGAGAUACUAGCAGACUCGGGACCGGGAGAGGUUGAAAGUAUUCCACGGGUAAGAGUAAAAUCUUUUAAUCCGUGGAGGACUACCUGUGGCGAAGGCGUUCGACUGGAACGGGUCCGACGGUGAGGGACGAAAGCGUGGGGAGCAACUGGGAUUAGAUACCCCAUUAGCCCACGCUGUAAACGAUGCCCUUUUGGUGUCGCACAAUCUUCGAGAUUCUGCGGUGCCGUAGCGAAGGUGUUAAAAGGGCCGCCUGGGGAGUACGACCGCAAGGUUGAAACUUAAAGGAAUUGGCGGGGGAG
This 884-nucleotide ribosomal RNA is filed under the name uncultured archaeon. RNAcentral describes it as "bacterial SSU rRNA". It matches the Rfam family "Archaeal small subunit ribosomal RNA", at positions 85 to 876 of the family's 1478-position model. The record is from RNAcentral.